GGAAAAACAAAAGGCAGUGAGUUCUCUCAGCCAAUUUCUCAGCCAAUUACAGGUCGACCUUCUCGUCUACCCUGCUCACUGCUGCGCUUGACUGGUCUUUG
Unclassified non-coding RNA from Loxodonta africana (African savanna elephant), 101 nucleotides. It matches the Rfam family "Y RNA". From Rfam's summary of the family: Y RNAs are components of the Ro ribonucleoprotein particle (Ro RNP), in association with Ro60 and La proteins. The Y RNAs and Ro60 and La proteins are well conserved, but the function of the Ro RNP is not known. Lineage: Eukaryota; Metazoa; Chordata; Mammalia; Proboscidea; Elephantidae. The record is from Ensembl.